AGCAGCCGCGGUAAUUCCAGCUCCAAUAGCGUAUAUUAAAGUUGUUGCAGUUAAAAAGCUCGUAGUUGAAUUUCGGGAUUUGUCAGUUGGUCGGGCUUAACUGUCCGUAUUGACUUGAUGGAUUCUUACCUUCUGAAUAACCAGCAUGCUAUUAAGUUAGUGCGUUGGGGAAGCAGAUCUAUUACCUUGAAAAAAUUAGAGUGCUUAAAGCGAGCUAGUGCUUGAAUAGAUUAGCAUGGAAUAAUAAAAUAGGACGGCAUGGUUCUAUUUUGUUGGUUUCUAGGAUCACCGUAAUGAUUAAUAGGGAUAGUUGGGGGCAUUAGUAUUCAAUUGUCAGAGGUGAAAUUCUUGGAUUUAUUGAAGACUAACUUCUGCGAAAGUAUUUGCCAAGGAUGUUUUCAUUAAUCAAGAACGAAAGUUAGGGGAUCGAAGACGAUCAGAUACCGUCGUAAGUCUUAACCAUAAACCUAUGCCGACUAGGAAUCGGACGAUGUUAAUUUUAUAAUGACUCGUUCGGCUA
RNAcentral lists this ribosomal RNA (520 nucleotides) under uncultured Acaulospora. RNAcentral describes it as "SSU rRNA". It matches the Rfam family "Eukaryotic small subunit ribosomal RNA", at positions 569 to 1086 of the family's 1831-position model. The record is from RNAcentral. Lineage: Eukaryota; Fungi; Glomeromycota; Glomeromycetes; Diversisporales; Acaulosporaceae.